This 5966-nucleotide long non-coding RNA is filed under the name Sus scrofa (pig). RNAcentral's name for it is "lncRNA (ENSSSCG00040048215.1)". The record is from RNAcentral. Lineage: Eukaryota; Metazoa; Chordata; Mammalia; Artiodactyla; Suidae.
AAUAAAAGCAGUGCUAGUACGACUACAAAUUCCUUGCAGGGUUAUUUUGAGGAUUAUAUAAGUAAGGCAUGAGAAAGCACCACUGCUCAGUUUAAAAUACCUAGAGAGUGCUUGCUAAUGUAGCCUAACAUGACUAACCCUGAUUGGCAAGCUUAUUACAAGGUUAAAAAAAAAAUGAAGGCAACAAAAACUGAGUCGUAUGGUACAUACAUAAUAUCUCAAUAGAUUGUUAGAAACAAUUGUGGCAGCUUAUUUUUACCAUGGAGUGGCCUUUCCAUUACUGACAUGAGGAUAAUGGAUCUUAUAUAAAGUGAGAGGUCAGAUUAUGCCUAUUUGACGCUCCCCACAGACCAGUCUGACAUCAGGGAGACUUUGGAUACCCCAUGUAUAUUGGCUUUGGCUCCUUGGGAAUGGAGUACAGCCUUGUAAGGGGCUUGGGCAAAAAGCCCAGCACCACAUGUGUCUAGUGGACACUGCCAUGGAAAGUAUUUUUCUUGCAGUUAUUUAUACCAUCAAGACUAAUUUAGUUUUCCUUUUGUAAAGGGGAUAGAAUCACCUACCCACAACAUGUUUACCUUAGAGUUGUACAGCACCCUAAGGACAGAAGAAAUACAGCUUAUUUCACAUUCUUUUUUUUUUUUUAACCCUUAAACAUCAUACACACAAAAGUGAUGCAGAAUUUGGAGGUCAUGGGGGACAAAAAGCACUUUAGUGUGUUAAUUUAAGAUAUGUGCAUAAACUUCAUGCAGAUUUAAAUUUCCCAACAGCUUGCAAAUGGCUUACUCAAGUAAUCAAAACAGGAGUUUCUGGAGCUAACAUUAGUCAUAAAGACCACAGAAUGUAGCUUUUUAUGUUUAUUGUUUACUUUUACAUUCUGUCCUACCCUGAGUCAUGUAGUCUGACGGAAUCGUGCAGGUGUGCUUGAUGGCAUCCACGAAUAUCUGUGGAAGCGGAGACCCUCCACAGUGGAAUACGAAUAAGGCUUUGAAGUAAAAAAUAGCAUGAUCUCAAACACCAGGCUCACCUCUUCUCAGCUGGGGUGGCCCACUGAUUUGGGGCCAUUUAUUUCAAUUUUCUGAGUCUGUUUCUUCAUUUAUAAACUUAGGUACUACAAUACCCUCACCGUGCAGUGGUAAAGAUAACAUGUGAAAUGUAUGUAAAGAGCUUAGGUCCAGUGUGGAGAAUUUUAUUGAGUGUAUUAGUAAAUUACACUUGUUAUUAUUAGUCUUCUCCAUAGAGUGAGGGGGUAGUGAACAGGGUCCAGGUUCAAAAAGGUAUUUGACCUGCUGAGUCAGUCUCCCCCCACCCCCAGAGGGAGGAGGGAUUCCAAAACCAAGCAAGCAAACACUGUAGCCAGGGUGUCUUAUUCUCUGGGAAAUCAUUUGAAUCCUUUGGCUUCUAGCUUCUGAAGAAUAUUUCAAUCUCUGGGGAAAAAUUCUGUGUAAUUUUCACUAACAGUAUAGGCAUGACUUCUGUCCAAAUUAUUGUUGUACAACUUAUGCUUUGUUAUUUCAAAACCUUUCUUAUAGAUAAUAUUAAAGGAGUUUAAAAUAAACAUAACCAAAAUCUUGCCCCUUGGAAAAGUUUGCUGUAACUGGUAUAUUUUCCACAUGGCAACAUGUUACUUUUCCUUAGAUCUUGACAGCCUCGCUAAUGGCAGUUUCUCAAACAGAACCUGGUGUUUCAGUAAUCCCUGUCCUUUCAUAUUCUUUUCCUUCUGUCCAUUGAUCCUUCCCCUUCCUCACCUUGCUAGCCAACCAUCUCCUGUCCUUCAAAGUUCGUCUCAAGCACACCUUCCCAGUAAAGUGUGUCCUAGAUAUCCCCAUCUGCCACAUCUAGCUAAUCCCUGGCUCUUCCUCUGUUUAGUUAAAGCAUUUCCUGCAGACCAGUACCAUGAAACUUAUCCUGUGUUAGAUCUGCCUGUUUGCUUGUCUCCCCAGGUCAUUCACUCAUGCCAGAAGAACCAGUGUCUGUCUUUAUCUCCCCACAGGGCCAUGAAUGCAGUACGACUCAGUAAUUAUCUCUAUUUGACCCUGUGGUUUGUGUCCAACAUGUAGGCAACAUUAAUGCUAAGAAAUGCCAGAGUAACUGAAUAAAUGCAUACAGCAUAUUAUAGCCACAGCAGAAGAGGUUAUUUUAAGAACUACUGCUUGCUUCAUGUCUGAGUAAAGAUGGAAUAUCAAACAUAAUUUCUUUAUAAUCAAAGGAAGCUUACUUCCAAGAUAGGAGAGCCUCCCCUUCCUUUUUUUUUUUUAAAUUAGAAGAAGCAUUUGCAUUUUCACAUUAGUCUUUGAAUAUGCAUGGCUGGUUGAAUCCUGUCUGACACCUUCACAGAACUUGCUUGAGGAAGCUUUCCAGUACUAAAUAAAUUGCAUCCAUUCUAAUUAAAGGUAUGCAGAGAAUACUACCCAGACAGGAGAAAUAAGGUGGAACGAGGAGCUAGAACUUCCAUGGUAACCCUGCCAGGGACAAUGUAACUGAUUCAUAUGAUCCCUUUUGCCACGUAUUGAUUCCAUGCCAACAAACCUCUAAAACUGUCCAUCAUUUCACAGAGCUAUUUAUAGUCUAAGUCUAGCUGUGACAAAUGAAAGGUGAUGGGCAUACAGAGACAUUUACUAACAUGAAUAAUAAAAUACUCCUGCUUUCCAGCUCAAAUGGCCAUUGAUUAUCAACAAAGUUUAACUAGAUAGUAUAUGUAAAUAUAAGGGUAGUUUACUGAAACACAAUGAAAUAUUUGCAUCAGAUCUUUUCGUACAGAGGAUCUGCUAAAGGAUAAAAAACUAAAAACUCAAGCCUGAUGUUACAGGUACCACAUCACUGCACAGUAUUGGUACCUCAUUCUGCCUUAGGCUGGUUAUUAGCAUUUGAGUUUAUCGAGCAAUUUGUCAGAAUAUUAAGCACACAUAAAAGGAAGUGAUAAAUUAAUGCCACAUGGACAUAAAGAUUCCAAAACUGAGACAAAGCUUCAGUAGCACAAUUGCUUGUUAUGCCCUUUAAAGCAUGUCAUAGCUCUUCUGGUUGGGAUACUGAUAGAAAAAUAAGUUGUGCGCUGUCCAUUAAUUUCUGUAAACCAGACUUCUAAAUUAUAAUACUUUACAUUCCUAACAUUCAGUUUGACUUCUGAGCUUGCCUGCAAUACUCAAGGCUGAGCAAUUGGUGUUUCAUCGGGAGAUAAGUGCUUGCAAUGGUAGGGAUGCAGGUGGUGGUGGUUGCUAUUUGGAUAGGCAACCACUUGCAUCAACAUCCUGGAUGAACCAGCUUGUUCAGACAUUGACUUUGCAUGCUUUAAACUUGAUCCUGAAUUGUCACAUGGGUUACACUUAAUAGCCUGAAUAUUUAGAAGUCAAUUUCUUAGCUGAUUGCCAAAUUAUCAUCAUUUUUUUUUAAUUUAAACCUACUGGGACACUCAGAUUGAGCUCUUUCAGCUCAAGUUUUGUUUUUUGAAAAACCUUAAGAUUUCAAACUUUCAUAAAUCAUAUUCCUUGAUUGGCAAAAAGUCAGUGCUGUUAAUGUCUUUUUUCCAGUAUAUCUUAUUAUCUUCAGCCAUAAUUAAUUUCUUUAAUAACUGCUUCAAUGGAUGCAUUUUUAAAAUAUUUGCUGCACAAUAUUAUCUCACAGUGGCAGUGAUGGAAAUCUGCUCUUUUUUCAGGGGGUUGGAUGUGGAUAGGGAGGGCUCAUAUUGGGUCCAAAUACUAUAAAAUGAAAGUCAAGACUCUUUGCCAAAGUUGGCUUGUGGUUUCCUGUCUUUCCUCUUGUUUUCGUUCUGGCUGGAUUACUCUGAUGUUUUUACCUGUUGAAAUAUUACCAAAUACUUAUGAACACCUGAAACCUGCCCUUUUCCCUCCCAAUCACAUUUGAUCAGGUCACAUUUCCAACUCUCAUAGCAUUUAAAAAAUAGUUUCCAGAGAUCCCUUAAGACCAACUACCUUGUGUUUAUAGAUCCCUAAGUGAUUAUUGGGAUUUAGCCUUAUUGCUGUAUUUUUUUAAUUUUAAGAAAUUAAGUGGAAAAAUGUGGCGAGUUAUUUAUAUACACUACAUAGCUGUACCCGUAAACAUUUAAUAUUUAUGAAGUUUAACUUUUUCAAUUUUUUCAAGACAUGAAACAUAACAUAUAAUUGAGAUCACUUUUCUUCAGUCUAAUUUCUUCCCCCUUUCUAUUCUGUCCAUAGAUAAGAUCACUCAGUGAAUUUAUUGUGUAUCCUUUUAAUCCAUUUUUUAAACUGUAUAGAAAAACAAGUAACUUCACACACAUAGUACUGUGAGUUCUUUUUUAUGCAUAUAAAUUAUAUCAUAGAAUAGUAUAUAUUGUAUAUAUUAUUUUUGGUGUUCAAUAUUUUGGGAUUUCUGGAAUUUUUAGAUUACUAACUUAUUUCACUCUUUUAAGCUGCUGAAUAGUGUCUCGCUGUAUAUAUUUUCCACAACUUGAAUAUCAUUGACUCUAUCUUCAAAAUAUAUCCAGAAUCCAUCUACUUCUCCCUAUCUCUACUGCCCCUUCCUUGGACCAAAAUACUAUGUGUCUCACCUAGAUUAUUAAACAGUCUUCCAACUUCUGACCUCCUUGGAGACCCCUAAAACCUACUCUCAAUACAGCAGUCAGAGGGAUCCUUUUAAAAAUGUAAGUCAUACUGAGGAGUCACUAACCUAUUUAAAACCCUCAAGUGACUUUGGCUCUCACUACUUCAAAGGAUGCUGCUUUGGAUCACCUCUUACUUCUGCACAGGAGAGUUUCUCUAUGGUAAAUUCCUACAGAGGAAAUACUGUUUUUUGACACUGAAUCACACAUUUUUCAAUAUUACUACUUUCUUCUAUACUACUUUCUCAAGUGGUUAUGCCAAUUUUUGAUCAUAUCAGCAUUGCAGAAACCAUUUUUAUGCUUCUGUAACAUAUUGGUAAACAGUUAUACAGAUGGUAGAUGGUGAAUAAUUAUUUAGCCCCUUUGUCUGUCAAGGGAGAGUUCAACACCCACUCACCUUAACUCUUAAGUAUCCCCUUCAGAAAGAUUUAUGCUUUGCCUUUCUCUGUAGAAAUUCUGUAAAUCUUUUUACUGUUGCAUCUAUCUGCAUUUCAUGUUGUAAUGUGUAUUUUUGCCUCCCCUCUCCUACUUAUAGACCUACUUGACCUCAGGGUUAGGAUCUUCAUUGUAUCCUAUUAUCUAAGAAGAGAAAAAUGAAAAUUUUCUAAUUGUGGAUCAUCUAUGGUCAAGCACAGAGCAAUGUCCUUACACAUGUAACUUUUUCACAUUUACAGUUGUUAUUGGAGAUAGAUACUAUUAUUAUUCCCACCUUACAGAUAAUAAAAUGGAGGGCCAUCAUUUUCUCACGGUUACAGAACCAGGAAAAGGCAAAGCCUGUGUUGUAAAACCGCCAGACUCUAAAACCUAACUCAUCCUACUGUACCAUGUUCUUCUUAUGUGUCCUUAUCUCCUAUAAAGGAAAGUCUUCAUAUAUAGUUGCUGAAUAACUUCUUAGAUGAUCCUAUGUAAAUAUUGCUGGAUUCUAUGCUGUUUAGUCAAUAUCAAAUUUUGUUAAUAUUUUCUUUACUUUGAUCAGAUUCUUUAGUAGAGAUGCCUCAAUGACUGAAAUUCAUCCUUAGGUUGUAUGUGUUUGUGUCCGUGUGUGUGUGAGAGAGAGUGAGAUUAAGUCUAUACAUUGCUUCUUUUUCCGAGGUAAAGUGUAGAUCACUUUUAAUUUGAGGAAUUUUUUUGAUGAUUAUUGAUGGAUAGGUUUCCAGGAAUGACUCAUUAAAAUGCUAAGACAGAUGAAGCAUUUUAAAACUUACUCCAACCAAGUUGUUGUGAGUGAAGAAAGCCAGACAUUUUCAAUUUGGAUCAACAAUCAGAUUUUUAGGUGUAGAGUAACUACAUGCUGUUUAUCAUAUUGGACAGACCUAUUUCAUUUGUACCUAAUCUCCCAAACUCACUUUUCUCUACAGUUGUGUACCUUUCCCCACCACUGACAUAUGUACCU